Diceros bicornis minor is the source of this 2448-nucleotide RNA transcript. It is a transcript of the gene named zinc finger protein 510-like, with no coding region annotated. The record is from RefSeq and is a predicted model, not a curated record. The transcript is spliced from 5 exons. Lineage: Eukaryota; Metazoa; Chordata; Mammalia; Perissodactyla; Rhinocerotidae.
GGGCUCCGCGCGGCUGAGGCCCUGCCGGGUCGGGUGGGCUCGUGUCCGCGGACGGGAGCGGGGAGUCCUCCCCUCCCCCAGCGCCGUGCGCCCGCCGCGUCCCGGCCCGCAGGGCGGGCUCUCGGUCGGGACUCGGGAGGCGCGGCGCGGCCGGGGCGGGGCUGCGGGCGGCGGGAGGGCUGCGCCCCCCGAGCGUUCGCGGGGAGCGCGGGGCGCCUGGGAGCAGCGCGCGCAGCUCUCCGGGGAACGAAAGGGUGGUCUGGGGACGUUGUGUCCGGGGCUCGUGCUGACCCCUGUGUAGGGGGCUUUCGGAAGACCCCGUUUCCUUCGUCUGGGCUUUCGCAUCACCCUCACGACAAGCCUCCUUGUCGGUGUAAACGUGCCGUUGUGCACAGUGGAAGGCAGCUCCUGGCGGCGGCAUGGUAGACCCCAGGGCACCAGCCGGCGGGUGGGAGAGGUAGGGUGCCAAUACGAAUAGGUUUCACUCCCUGCGUCUGGCUCUGCCUCGUCUCCUCCGUGCCCCAAACCCGACGCGGCAGCCCUCGGAGCCCUUAGUAGAGUGUCCUCUCCCCCACAUUCCCGGAGGGGUGAUUGUGGAGUGCACGCGGACAGAAUCUCAGCGCGCGGGAAAUGUGUGCUGGGAUUUGUGGCUUCUCUCCAGAGCCCCUGGGUCAGACGGCGGCUCUUGACCCUGCCUCGCCGUCCAGGCCGUCUCCGUCCUCAAAGACACCGUCUGGUACCUAAUGGAGUGCUGGCCAAGAGAAAGGCAGGAAAGGGAGUCUCAGGAACACUGCCACUUGGAAGAACAGCCUUUCUGACAGACCCCUCACCGGAGCUUCAGAGCAGAGGCGGAAGGUUCCAGACGGGAGCAGGUCCAGAUUUGUUCCACCAGAAGCAGUUCUUGAUCCCUGUAUAGCAUGAAUCAGACUGGAUGAUGUCACCACGUCCAGAAGCCAUCACAGACUGUGUGACAGUGGACACUGUGGACCAGCUUGCAGAAGGUGGUAACCGGGCGUUGAGAGGGGUGGGUGACUGUCAGGCUGCCCAGGAAAAGGCAGCUCACUGGAUGGCUGGUGAGGACAUGGUGUCCGGGGAAGGUGUACCCAGCCAGUGCUGACAAAAUCCUCAACAGCACCCUGUUUCCUUCACUCUGCCCUCACUCUUCAGAUUCCGAGCUGCCCUCACACCAUGUUCAUCAGCACGUGUGGCGUCUAGAGUUAUGCCGAUGCUGCCUCUUUCCUGAACGUAGAGAAUAACGAAAUGAUAGUAGAAGAAGGGUUUUCUACACUGGGCGCCUUUGGAAGCCCAAAACUAUCAGGCCUGAAAUGAAUGGUUUUUGUAGAGUCAGCCAGGACAGAACCAAGAACUAAGCGUGGUGCUGCUGACUUACACGCGUCUGAACCUUCACAGUUCUUUACAUGCUUCCAGGAGUAGCAGAAAAUGAACAUAGCUCAGGGAUCAGUGUCAUUUGAAGACGUGGCUGUGGAGCUCACCCAGGAGGAGUGGCGGCAGAUGGACUCUGCGCAGAGGGCCCUGUACAGGGAUGUGAUGCUGGAGAACUACAGCCACCUCGUCUCCGUGGGGUACUGCAUUACUAAACCCAAGGUGAUUUUCAAGUUGGAGCAAGGAGAAGAGCCCUGGUCCUUAGAGGAAGAAUGCCUAAACCAGAGGUACCCAGGUGAGUGAGCCCUGGCAGAAACACCUGGGUAGUUAGACCUUAGAAGGGAACACUUUUGAAAGUUUUUUUUUUUUUCCUUUUAAACAGCUUUAUUGAGAUAUAAUUCACAUGUCAUACAAUUCAUCCAUUUAAAGUACACAAUUCGAUGGGUUUUAAUAUAUUCACAGAUAGGUGUAAACAUCACCACAGUCAAUUUUCAUCACCUCAAAAAGAAACUCCAUACCCUUUAGCUAUCACUUCCCUGUCUCCCUGUCGCCUCCAGCCCUGGCAACCACUAGUCACUUUCUGUCUCUAUAGAUUUGCCUAUUCUGGACAUUUCAUAUAAAUGGAAUCACACAUUAUGUGGUCUUUUGUGUUGGGUUUCUUUCACUUAGGAUUACAAGGUUCAUAUUGUAGCAUGUAUCAGUACUUCAUGCUUUGUAUGGCAAAACAAUUUCCUUGUGUGGGUGUACCACAUUUGUGUGUCCAUUCAUCAGUCAGUGGACGUUUGGGAUUCCACCUUUUGGCUAUUAUUGAGUAAUGCUGAUAUAAACAUACAUUUACAAAUUUUUGCGUGGACGUAUGCUUUUAUUUCUCUUGAGUUUAUAUCUAGGCAUGGAAUUGAUGCGUUAUAUGGUAACUCUGUUUGGGGAACUGCCAGACUGUUUUCCAAAGCGGCUGCACCAUUUUACAUUCCUAAUGACAGCAUACAAGAGUUUUGAUUUCUCCACAUCUUCACCAACACUUGUUGUUAUCUGACUUUUUGAUUCUUGCCGUCCUAGAGGAUGUGA